AAAUUGAAGAGUUUGAUCAUGGCUCAGAUUGAACGCUGGCGGCAGGCCUAACACAUGCAAGUCGAACGGUAACAGAAAGCAGCUUGCUGCUUUGCUGACGAGUGGCGGACGGGUGAGUAAUGUCUGGGAAACUGCCUGAUGGAGGGGGAUAACUACUGGAA
Molecule: ribosomal RNA, 161 nt
Filed under: Escherichia coli
Lineage: Bacteria; Pseudomonadati; Pseudomonadota; Gammaproteobacteria; Enterobacterales; Enterobacteriaceae
Description: partial 16S ribosomal RNA
Rfam family: Bacterial small subunit ribosomal RNA
Source: RNAcentral